Molecule: long non-coding RNA, 2021 nt
Organism: Poecilia latipinna (sailfin molly)
Lineage: Eukaryota; Metazoa; Chordata; Actinopteri; Cyprinodontiformes; Poeciliidae
Exons: 5
Source: RefSeq, a predicted model, not a curated record
UGACAGCCAUGUUUUAGCCUCUGUCCUUUGGUGUGAGAUAAGGAUACAUACAUACGGAGAAGUUGUUCAAGAUUAUAGCCAAAACAGAGUUCCAAUUCUGUGUGAUGCAUUGCUUGUGUGAAACACAGCAAGGACCCUCGGUCGGGUUUCUAUUUAUUUUCACUGCGAGCUGAAAGAAAAUUGCACCAUGUGCACCGGCUUCGCUGUCCGAGCACGUGGGGUGGCAAGGACAUAAGAAAUGGAGGCUGACCAAAUGGGGGUUACUUGAUAAUCGGUUCAUACAACCCGGCUGAUUCUGAAGAACAAAGGAACAAUCAUGAGCAUCAAGAUGGAUGCCGAGUGGCUGCUGGUUAAGUCAGUAGUUAUAAGGUGAUGGCACCUGUUCGGUGAUGUAGCCAUAGACGGAAUGUCUUGCUUCAGUUUCUCCUUGUAGAUCAUCUGCUCUUGUCCAUGUGGAAGUUUAGGUAGUGAACUCUGAAUCAAGGCUAAAGCUUCACUGAUUGUCAUUCUGGUUAUAUACAAACUAGAGGGCUGUUUCACAAAACCAGGAUAGCAGAUUAAGCUGGGAUUUUCUGGAUAUCCUGUCUUAAUUAAGCCUCAAUUCAAUGUUACAAAAGAAAUAACACAUAAGUUACCAUGGUGACUUAUUUUGUGAAGCCAGCCUGCUCCAGACCAGGCUAGCAGCCAUGCUUAGUUAAGCCUGGAACCUUAUCUGUUCAGUCAGCAGUCACAGCAAUCAGAAACCGAGUUUUGUCCGUGAUUCUGUUUUCUUAUCUGUAAGUAUUGUUUGUUUUUUUUGUUUGUUUGUUUGUUUGUUUGUUUUUUAAUCACCCUGCAUUAAAACACCUCCAAUUAAUUUUGGUAGUCAGUCAGGUACUAUUACUAUUUUUACAGUAUACCAUUAGAAAACACAAUUAUCAAUUUUAAAAUGACCCAUACGGACUCUGCAUGGGUCAAACCGUGUUUCUGAAGAAACGGUUUCUAAAGACCGCUGUUCUAUACUAAACAAAAAUAUAAACGUCCCAUGUCAAAUAUUGCCAUGUGGAGUUAACAACUGUAAAUGAGCAUUUGUUGAUAUUUUAUUGUACAAAAGUAAUAUUUCUCCUGAUUUGUGUGUAAUUUGUAAUCCAACUUUCUGUCAGUGAGCAUUACCCAAUGCAUGGGUGGGGCAUGUCCAGUGAGUGAUCAGACAAAAUGAGCAACAGCUGGACAAUCCUUGGACUGGGGACAAUAAAAGGCCACCCCAAAAUGUAAAAUUUUGUCACAAGUCAUAAUGCCUGAGAUGUCUCAAGUUAUGCGGGAGCAUGCCAUUGGCAUGUUGGAUGUAGGGAGGGAUGUCCACCAGAGCAGUAGCUGCACAGCUCAAUGUCCAUUAUCGAGCUAUAGGACUUUAAAGUGUUCAUUUCCAACAAACUGGCAGUACUGCAAAUCGACCUCAUGCGAUUUGCAUGAGGUCGGCCAUGUGUGACCACUCAAAGCAAAAGCAUCAGAACUUAAAGGGGCAGUUAACUACAGGUAAAAUUAAAGAUGAAAAUUCACAGAUAUUGCACAUUGUUAUAUUUCAUUUUGGUCUGUAUAAAUAUCUAGAAUGUGGAACAAAACAGCAACAUGAAGGAAUUCGCUGUCAGUUGAACAUGUUUAUAAUAUUGACUUCCACUAUUAGGUUAUAGUUUUUUAUAUGUGAAAAUCUCAUGUAUGAUUAUGUUUAGUUAAGAAUAGUUUGGAAAUGUAUAUUUUUAAGCUAAUUACGUAUUCAAUUUAUCUAUCGUUUGCUCUUGUAGCGGAAUUUUUUCUUUCUUUUGUAUGAUGUGCUUCAAUUCCUCAUAAACCUCAAUAAAAAGAUGCAGUUUAUUUGGUGUGAGGUAUGGCAUACGGAGUUUAUUUAGUGUAACAUUAGUGAAUCUGUGGUUGAUUUCAUUGGUCUCUUGAAGAAAUCCAUUGACGCACAAUCCGUGAAGCAACACAACUGUUUUUCAGUGUAUGUUGAUUGCAUGUCAAAUAAACAAUUUAAAUGUCCACAC